Long non-coding RNA from Cyprinus carpio (common carp), 1109 nucleotides. RefSeq lists it as uncharacterized. The record is from RefSeq and is a predicted model, not a curated record. NCBI's taxonomy places the organism in Eukaryota, Metazoa, Chordata, Actinopteri, Cypriniformes, Cyprinidae. The transcript is spliced from 6 exons.
AGAUGUAAAUGCAGACGUCAAAUAGAUGUCUUUGUGAUACUUUGAAAGGCUACGUGUUCAGCUGUAAGAAAGCGCAAUGCGUUUGCGUCAAAACUUAAGUAUAUUUAAAAUGACGCGACCGAGGCUAAAUUCACAAUAGUACGGCAUAUUACUCUCACUAGACCUAUAAAAGGUAAGAAUAAAUAUAAAGCUGCGUUCACACUAGCAGCGACUUUUGUUGUUGCAUGUCGAACGGGGCUCAAAUCAGGAGCGACGCGAACACAGCAUCGCGUGAUCCGUUUCAUGGCGUGCAAACAGAAGCCAAGUUCGAGCGAUUUUACUGACGCUUCUUUACUAAAUCGCUGUUUGUGUGAAUGGGAUGUUACGAAAACAGGCCUACGUAUUAUAGCCUACUGUUUUCACUUUGAGAUCCUCAGACAAAUCCCCUUCGCUGAACACUUAGAUUACUGUAAUCAUAUUUGAACACAGCUUGACCACUUGCCAUUUGAAAACGCCAGUCAUUUCCUCUUCCCAUCCCGGCGUGUUGUUAGUGCUGCUGUGCUCUCGCUUUGACAUUCAUGGGCUCCAGGUCUUAUCUGAAUGAUUGAAUGCCGGCGUUUGCCGAGCUAAAUUGCGUCGUUUCAAUCCGGGAGAGAGUUCCCUCCGGAUUCAGCGCGGGUCCCGGUAGGCCAGCCUUCGAAAAGAACAGCAUGUUGUACAUCCACAUAAAACGGAAAAAAUAUGAGAGGAAACAUCAUCCAUGUGAAAAAAAUGUCAGUAAGGCCAUCCGGGUCGAGCUUUCCAUAAGAGGAAUGAGGCCUGCUGGGGCCAUUAGAAAUGCAUUGUCAACUCUUCAGCGGAUCUCACCCUCAGAGACCACAAACUAAACAGGGGAAAGAUCUAGUGGAGAAGCCUCUUUCUGGUCCAAGGAUGUACAUCAACGCUGGAAGGAAAGUUGAGUUUCAUGGGGUCUUCAAAGAAAAGUCUCACCCAAGAUGGAAGGAAGGGUUAAAAGGCUCACAAACCUUUCUGGAGGUGAGGAACGCUUCUCUCAGACAUGAUGGAGAUCCAGCACUUCACAUCAGUGCCUUUUCGUUUGACCCCAGCAUCAUACAGGGCCUGCACAGAAG